UUUCAGAGCCCAGACAUUCCUGCUCAACUAAUUCCAGUGCUAGGAUAGGAAUUCAAUUCAUAUGAUGAUGCAUUCAAUUUUUUUAAUGACUACGCCAAACAUGCUGGGUUCGGCAUAAGGAAAGGGCAGAGAAAUAAGAAGAAACGCUACUAAUAUUGCGUACACUCUGGCAAAUACAUAUCCUCUGUUCAGGAUGCAGAUCGUCAGCGCAAGGAAGUAACAAAAAGAACUGAUUGCAAGACAAUGAUGCUCUUGAAAGAAAGAGACGAUGGGACUUGUGUUGUCAAAGAAAUUGUGAUUGAACACAACCACAGACUCCUCAACAGCCCGUCCGCGCUUGUGUUUCUGCAUUCACACAAAACGAUAGACCCAACAGUGAAAGAAUACAUAAAAGACCUGCAUAAGACAAAUGUUAAGCAUGUGAAUAUCAUGGGUCUCCUUUCUUGGUUAUCUGGUGGGCGCGACAAAUUGCCUUUUAUAGACAAGGACGUGCUUAACAUGUAA
RNAcentral lists this ribosomal RNA (504 nucleotides) under Triticum aestivum (bread wheat). Its description in RNAcentral is "partial small subunit ribosomal RNA". The record is from RNAcentral. Lineage: Eukaryota; Viridiplantae; Streptophyta; Magnoliopsida; Poales; Poaceae.